Molecule: ribosomal RNA, 446 nt
Filed under: uncultured bacterium
Lineage: Bacteria
Description: bacterial SSU rRNA
Rfam family: Bacterial small subunit ribosomal RNA
Source: RNAcentral
ACCAGACUCCUACGGGAGGCAGCAGUGGGGGAUAUUGCACAAUGGGGGAAACCCUGAUGCAGCGACGCCGCGUGGGUGAAGAAGUAUUUCGGUAUGUAAAGCCCUAUCAGCAGGGAAGAAAGAAGACGGUACCUGACUAAGAAGCCCCGGCUAACUACGUGCCAGCAGCCGCGGUAAUACGUAGGGGGCAAGCGUUAUCCGGAUUUACUGGGUGUAAAGGGGGCGCAGACGGCGAUGCAAGCCAGGAGUGAAAGCCCGGGGCCCAACCCCGGGACUGCUCUUGGAACUGCGUGGCUGGAGUGCAGGAGGGGCAGGCGGAAUUCCUGGUGUAGCGGUGAAAUGCGUAGAUAUCAGGAGGAACACCGGUGGCGAAGGCGGCCUGCUGGACUGCAACUGACGUUGAGGCCCGAAAGCGUGGGGAGCCAACAGGAUUAGAUACCCCAGUA